Molecule: ribosomal RNA, 253 nt
Filed under: uncultured bacterium
Lineage: Bacteria
Description: partial 16S ribosomal RNA
Rfam family: Bacterial small subunit ribosomal RNA
Source: RNAcentral
UACGUAGGGUGCAAGCGUUGUCCGGAAUUAUUGGGCGUAAAGAGCUCGUAGGCGGUUUGUCGCGUCUGCUGUGAAAAUCCAGGGCUUAACCCUGGACCUGCAGUGGGUACGGGCAGACUUGAGUCUGGUAGGGGAGUGUGGAAUUUCCGGUGUAGCGGUGAAAUGCGCAGAUAUCGGAAGGAACACCAGUGGCGAAGGCGGCACUCUGGGCCAGUACUGACACUGAGGAGCGAAAGCGUGGGUAGCGAACAGG